UACAGCCGUACCAACUUGAACAUGCCCGAUCUCAUCUAAUCUUGGAAACUAAGCAGAAUCUGACCUGGUUGGUACUUGCAUGGGAGAGAAGUCCUAAGAAAUCUCUGAGU
RNAcentral lists this ribosomal RNA (110 nucleotides) under Carlito syrichta (Philippine tarsier). The record is from RNAcentral. Lineage: Eukaryota; Metazoa; Chordata; Mammalia; Primates; Tarsiidae.